Molecule: ribosomal RNA, 489 nt
Filed under: uncultured bacterium
Lineage: Bacteria
Description: partial 16S ribosomal RNA
Rfam family: Bacterial small subunit ribosomal RNA
Source: RNAcentral
GACGAACGCUGGCGGCGUGCUUAACACAUGCAAGUCGAACGGUGAAGGGACCAGCUUGCUGGUUCUGGAUGAGUGGCGAACGGGUGAGUAACACGUGAGUAACCUGCCCCCUUCUUCUGGAUAACCGCAUGAAAGUGUGGCUAAUACGGGAUAUUCUGGGUCUGUCGCCUGGCGGGCCCGGGAAAGAUAUUGCUUCGGUGGGGGAUGGGCUCGCGGCCUAUCAGCUUGUUGGUGGGGUGAUGGCCUACCAAGGCGGUGACGGGUAGCCGGCCUGAGAGGGUGGACGGUCACACUGGGACUGAGACACGGCCCAGACUCCUACGGGAGGCAGCAGUGGGGAAUAUUGCACAAUGGGCGCAAGCCUGAUGCAGCGACGCCGCGUGAGGGAUGGAGGCCUUCGGGUUGUAAACCUCUUUCGCCAGUGAAGCAGGCCUGCUCCUUGUGGGUGGGUUGACGGUAGCUGGAUAAGAAGCGCCGGCUAACUACGUG